Molecule: long non-coding RNA, 804 nt
Filed under: Homo sapiens (human)
Lineage: Eukaryota; Metazoa; Chordata; Mammalia; Primates; Hominidae
Description: HSALNT0224845
Source: RNAcentral
CUCGCCCGGCCCCCGCCCGCCGCCGAGCGCGGCGUCGCGAGGAAGGUGUGACUUGCAGAGGAGUUGAUUCCUUCUUAUGUACAUUUACUGGAGAAGUUUACAGCAGGAGACUGGGGUCUGAGACACACGCAUCUUUGUGUGCCCCAAAGAAUAAAGCCCUCAAAGGAUGUGAAGCCUGAACUCACUUCAAAUGCUGGAAAGGCCCUUUCCUUAGCUGAGCUGUGGAGGAACCAGGACUCCUGUGGCACUGCCCUAACGAGGAGGCAGUGCUGCCAGAUUCAGGUCUGCAAGACAGCUUUGAUUCAGCUGAUUUCAGCCAGGCUCACCCCGACUUUGCAGGGCGCUGCGAACCCCAGCCUUCAGGUCGGGUUCAGCAUCCAGCAGUGCCCUGGAAAAGUGGCUGUGAAGUUACUUGCAAGACUGCAUUGAACCCGGGCGAGACACUUCUCAGGGGAGCUGUCCAGCUACAUUCUCUGAGUGAAGAGAUGAAGAUCUCACUAUGUUGCCUGGGCUGGUCUUGAAUUCCUGAGCUCAAGUGAUCCUCCAACCUUGGCCUCCCAAAGUGAUGGAAUUACAGGCGUGAGUCACUGCACCUGGCUGAUACCAUUAUUUUUAAAGUUGGUUUCUUAUAGAUGACAUAAAAUUGGAUCUCCCCUCCCCUACAUUCAAUCUGACCGUUUCUGACUUUGAAUUGAUGUGUUUAAACCACUUACAUUAAUUAUUGAUACAGUUGAAUUUAGGCUACCCUUUUCUUAUUUGUUUUCUGCAUAUCUUCUCUGUUUUUCAUUUUUCUCUUUCCCCCUU